UACGUAGGGUGCGAGCGUUGUUCGGAAUUACUGGGCGUAAAGCGCACGUAGGCGGACUGUUAAGUCAGGGGUGAAAUCCUGGAGCUCAACUCCAGAACUGCCUUUGAUACUGGCGAUCUCGAGUCCGGGAGAGGUGAGUGGAACUGCGAGUGUAGAGGUGAAAUUCGUAGAUAUUCGCAAGAACACCAGUGGCGAAGGCGGCUCACUGGCCCGGUACUGACGCUGAGGUGCGAAAGCGUGGGGAGCAAACAGG
This 253-nucleotide ribosomal RNA is filed under the name uncultured bacterium. RNAcentral's name for it is "partial 16S ribosomal RNA". It matches the Rfam family "Bacterial small subunit ribosomal RNA", at positions 524 to 776 of the family's 1533-position model. The record is from RNAcentral.